GAUGAACGCUGGCGGCGUGCCUAAUACAUGCAAGUCGAGCGAACGGACGAGAAGCUUGCUUCUCUGAUGUUAGCGGCGGACGGGUGAGUAACACGUGGAUAACCUACCUAUAAGACUGGGAGAACUUCGGGAAACCGGAGCUAAUACCGGAUAAUAUUUUGAACCGCAUGGUUCAAAAGUGAAAGACGGUUUUGCUGUCACUUAUAGAUGGAUCCGCGCUGCAUUAGCUAGUUGGUAAGGUAACGGCUUACCAAGGCAACGAUGCAUAGCCGACCUGAGAGGGUGAUCGGCCACACUGGAACUGAGACACGGUCCAGACUCCUACGGAAGGCAGCAGUAGGGAAUCUUCCGCAAUGGGCGAAAGCCUGACGGAGCAACGCCGCGUGAGUGAUGAAGGUCUUCGGAUCGUAAAACUCUGUUAUUAGGGAAGAACAUAUGUGUAAGUAACUGUGCACAUCUUGACGGUACCUAAUCAGAAAGCAACGGCUAACUACGUG
RNAcentral lists this ribosomal RNA (497 nucleotides) under uncultured bacterium. RNAcentral describes it as "partial 16S ribosomal RNA". It matches the Rfam family "Bacterial small subunit ribosomal RNA", at positions 28 to 507 of the family's 1533-position model. The record is from RNAcentral.